Molecule: ribosomal RNA, 490 nt
Filed under: uncultured bacterium
Lineage: Bacteria
Description: partial 16S ribosomal RNA
Rfam family: Bacterial small subunit ribosomal RNA
Source: RNAcentral
GAUGAACGCUAGCGGCAGGCCUAAUACAUGCAAGUCGAACGGGAUCCAGAUCAAAGCUUGCUUUGGUCUGGUGAGAGUGGCGCACGGGUGCGUAACGCGUGAGCAACCUACCCUUGUCAGGGGGAUAGCCCGGCGAAAGUCGGAUUAAUACCGCAUGACAUCAUUGAGAGGCAUCUUUCGAUGAUCAAAGAUUUAUCGGACAAGGAUGGGCUCGCGUGGCAUUAGCUAGUUGGUAAGGUAACGGCUUACCAAGGCUGCGAUGUCUAGGGGCUCUGAGAGGAGAAUCCCCCACACUGGUACUGAGACACGGACCAGACUCCUACGGGAGGCAGCAGUAAGGAAUAUUGAUCAAUGGACGGAAGUCUGAACCAGCCAUGCCGCGUGCAGGAAGACGGCCCUAUGGGUUGUAAACUGCUUUUAUACGGGAACAAACGUCGGUACGUGUACCGGUCUGAGUGUACCGUAAGAAUAAGGAUCGGCUAACUCCGUG